This 279-nucleotide unclassified non-coding RNA is filed under the name plant metagenome. RNAcentral's name for it is "partial contains small subunit ribosomal RNA, internal transcribed spacer 1, and 5.8S ribosomal RNA". The record is from RNAcentral.
UUUCCGUAGGUGAACCUGCGGAAGGAUCAUUACUGAGUAAUGACCCUCCGAGUCCAACCUCCCACCCGUUUUUAUUGUACAUUUUUGCUUCGGUGAACCCGCCUCACGGCCGCCGGGGGGCGUCUGCCCGCGGGCUCGUGCUCGCAGUAGAAACCUUUUAACUCCUUCUGAAUGUGCCAGCCUGAGCGAAAACUAAAUAAGUAAAAAAUUUCAACAAUGGAUCUCUUGGUUCCGGCUUACAUGAAGAAACCACUAGAACUGAUUAGCACAGUCCUUAAA